UACGUAGGGUGCGAGCGUUGUCCGGAAUUACUGGGCGUAAAGGGCUCGUAGGCGGCCAACUAAGUCAUACGUGAAAUCCCCCGGCUUAACCGGGGAACUGCGUCUGAUACUGGAUGGCUUGAGUUCGGGAGAGGGAUGCGGAAUUCCAGGUGUAGCGGUGAAAUGCGUAGAUAUCUGGAGGAACACCGGUGGCGAAGGCGGCAUCCUGGACCGAUACUGACGCUGAGGAGCGAAAGCCAGGGGAGCAAACGGG
RNAcentral lists this ribosomal RNA (253 nucleotides) under uncultured bacterium. RNAcentral's name for it is "partial 16S ribosomal RNA". It matches the Rfam family "Bacterial small subunit ribosomal RNA", at positions 524 to 776 of the family's 1533-position model. The record is from RNAcentral.